UACGUAGGGGGCAAGCGUUGUCCGGAAUUACUGGGCGUAAAGAGUGUGUAGGCGGUGCUCUAAGUUUGUCGUGAAAUCUCCCGGCUUAACUGGGAGGGUGCGGCGAAAACUGGAGUGCUAGAGGGUGGGAGAGGAAAGCGGAAUUCCUGGUGUAGCGGUGAAAUGCGUAGAUAUCAGGAGGAACACCUGCGGUGUAGACAGCUUUCUGGACCACUUCUGACGCUGAGACACGAAAGCGUGGGUAGCAAACAGG
Molecule: ribosomal RNA, 253 nt
Filed under: uncultured bacterium
Lineage: Bacteria
Description: partial 16S ribosomal RNA
Rfam family: Bacterial small subunit ribosomal RNA
Source: RNAcentral